AAGAAGCAUGGUAAUGAAAAUCAUGAAGUUGGACAUCAAUGGUGUGACACAAAUUGUCACACCCUAGUUCAAAAAAUCAUAUCUCACAAACCACAAAUGAUAAAUGCACAAACUUUAUACCAAAAUCACCAUGAAUGUGUCUAGUUUAAGCACAAAAAAUUUGGGAGCCAUUGGAUACAUUCUCAUCAUUUCACAAUUGAUUUGGCAAAGUGUACAAAAUUUGGUCACAUGUCACAAACCCUAAGGCCAUUUAAAAACCAUCCAUCCAAAAAUUCUGGAAAAAUAAUGAUAAAAAAGUAGAGAUCAUGAUGAACACAACACAAAAAAUCCCAUU
Molecule: long non-coding RNA, 334 nt
Filed under: Lathyrus oleraceus (garden pea)
Lineage: Eukaryota; Viridiplantae; Streptophyta; Magnoliopsida; Fabales; Fabaceae
Description: Pisum sativum (pea) long non-coding RNA (PSAT_LNC005257)
Source: RNAcentral